RNAcentral lists this long non-coding RNA (33041 nucleotides) under Eutrema salsugineum. RNAcentral describes it as "long non-coding RNA (ESAL_LNC000025)". Lineage: Eukaryota; Viridiplantae; Streptophyta; Magnoliopsida; Brassicales; Brassicaceae. The record is from RNAcentral.
CCACCUCCACCUUCAAGGCAUAACCAGAGGCAACAGUUCUUUGAGCAUCAUCACUCGAGUAGCGGCUCUGAUUCCUCUUACGAGAGUCUAGUUGGACAGACCAGGAACCUUUCUAUGACUAGUGAGCCGAAGAAAGAGGAUAAACCAGAGGAUGUGCUUUUCAAAGACCUGGUUGAGUUUGCCAAAACCAGGUCCUCCAAGCCCAACAAUAGGUCGCUUUGAGUCUUUUGCUUGUGUAACAAGUGUGCUUUUAGCAAUCUUUUCUUUAUUUAUUUUUUUAAGUAACAUUAAAUGAUGGUAUUAGAGUGCCCCUUAUAUACAUUUCUGUGUGACGGCGAAUCACGUUCAAGACACAUACACUUUGCAUUAUGCACCAAGAACUAACAAUAGGAUGAAGCUAUUGAACAAGUCAAUUGUUUCUGAGUUGUUUUAUCAUUCCGUUGUAUUCUACUAUUCUUCAUGUUUCAUUCAUGUGGUUUUAUAAGCGUAGAAACCCGAAUAUGAAUAAUGAAAUCAGAGGAUGUGCUUUUCAAAGACCUGGUUGAGUUUGAGCAUCACCACUCGAGUCUAGCUAGUUGGACAGACCAGGAACCUCUGUAUGACUAGUGAGCCGAAGAAAGAAGAUAAACCAGAGGAUGUGCUUUUCAAAGACCUGGUUGAGUUUGCCGAAAACCAGGUCCUCCUAGCCCAACAAUAGGUCGCUUUUGAGUCUUUUGCUUGCGUAACAAGUAUGCUUUAACAAUCUUUUCUGAUGAUAUUAAUCUGCGCCCUAUUGUCAAAUUACAUCAGUUUGUGACGGCCAAUCACGUUCAAGACAGCAAAUACCAAAGCAAGACUUGAUCAUACUCUUGACAUUAUUUCUUGCUCCGAAUAAAGUUGCCGGCGCCGUGAAACGGCCAUUGCCACCAGAAUGCAGAGGGAAGGAGCUUGGACCUUGCAUCGAUUACCUUUUGAACCCAGGGGUGGAAAGGCACGUGGAACGCAACCUUGUUGUGAAAUAUAUCGACUGAAAAAUUCGAAACCAUGUUUGCGUAAAGUCUUUACGACGUCCCAGGAUCCUAAUCUAAACAAAGUUGCUUCUACUAUUUUUAGGAGGUGUGCUAUUAAUGGUUAUCCUUGCCGUCUUCCUCCAAAGAUCUAGUAGAUAUUGUUAUACAUGUAAUUCAAAGAAAGUAAUAACAAUGUAGCAAAGCAAACAUACAUAUUUUGAAAUUUGAAAUAAUAUGUACUAAUUAUGGUUGGUUUUAUAUGGUUCCCUUAAAUAAACUAUUAUUAUUAUUAUUAUUAUUGAUGUUACAGUUGAAUCUUAUUCUAUACCACGAAAAAAGUAAAAUAACUUACAAAUUAAAUAUAUCUAAACACAUUAACUUACAAAUUAAUUUAAUGUGUGAUUUGGGCUUCCCUUUAGGUUAAUGUCACCUAAACCGGACACAGUAAUAGUAGUAACACAUCGCUGUAAACUCUUUAGUAACUAACAUUUUGUGAUUGAAGGGGUGAUAUCCUCGUAUCUGACAUGAACACUGAUGUAAUGACAAGACAAAAUUUAUUUAUGCAUGCGGAGGUAAUUUAUGCAAGGCUAGAUUUCUAAACCCAACGGCUAGAAUAAGCCUUGUUGAAGCUCACAAACCAUUUACAAAAAUAUCAUAACCCUAAACACUUUAAACAAACCGUAAAUAUCAAAUUCCAAACCCGAACUGAUGGCUUAAUUAGCUUCCUCCUAUAUUUCACAAACCCUAUUUAAAAUUAAGUAUCUAAACCCUAAACACUUUAAACAAUAGAUAAAUAAUAAAAUCUAUAUACUCUAAAUGCUAAACCGUUAGAAUAUGACUUCUAAACCUCCCGCGAAAUAUAAAACCUAAUCCAAAUAUCCUAAACGCUAUUAACCGUCUUAAAUGUUCAUUAACCUUCAAAAUCUUUUAUAUAACGACUUUUUAAAACUUUCACAAGGUUUUGAAAACUUUUACAUGCUUUUAUAAAAUUUCAAGUUUUCACCCUAAACACUUUAAAUUGUAAAGAACCGUUGUUAGCGUUGUUAAAACUCAUAAGUACCCCUAAUAAAAUGGUUAUUGCAAAGUUGUAAUAAUCAUAUACAUAUAAUGACUGGAUUUUAGAGAUUAGUAUCCGAGAUUGGCAACAAGAUAUAUGUUUUGCCAAUAACGUUCACAUGUUGCAUUAUACGACAAAUACCAUUGUUUUUUUUUAGGAAUAAAAAUAGGAUUAAGCUAUUGAACAAUUCAAUUUUCUCAAUAAAAACAAACUUUGCAUUCUCCCCUUCUUCAUAGGAAUCGAUUCCCACUUUCCAAUUUUCCUGUUUUCUAGGAACUAUUGAUUCUAAUUUCUUAUUUAAAGGACAUAAAACAAAAUGAAAUAAAAACAGAGAAUACGCCUACAAAUUAGAUAAAGUCAUCUUAACCAGCUACAAUAAUGAAGAUCAUUCGAAUCAUUCCAUUGAUGCUCGUUGCCAUCAUCAUACUCUUAACAUCAUUUCCGGUUCCGAUCAAAACCGUCGGUGCUGCGAAUGUGCCAGUGCCAGCGGAUUGCAAAGGGGAGAUUGAACCUGGCAUCCAACCCUUAAUCAACGGAGCUCUAGUGCCACCAGGAGGUUGUUGCGUUAAAUACAGACUAGAAAAUUCGAGAUCAUGUUGGAUGAAACUCGUUACGUCCAUUGCCGGAUUAAUCAAUUUAAAUUUAAAUUUCCUAAUUUAUAAUUUAAAAUAUGAUUUUUCAGUAUUUUUUAUAAAAAUAAUACAAAAACAAGAAAAAUAAAUUUAAAAUUUAUAAAAUAUUUCAACUCCAUAAAUAAUUUAUAUAAAAUACAAAAACACAAUAAGAUUAAUGUUUUAUUGUUGAAAUAUGGUUUUUUUUUCAUAUUUCCCUACAAAAUCGUUUAUUAAACUCUCUUAGUCAAGUUUUUCAACCAUAACUGUCCUAAUAGAUAACAAAGCUAGCCAAUUUAAUCGCUCUUGGUAGAUCACAAAUAAUUCUUUAUCAGCUUUAAUUUCGAAAAACUUCUUUCAGCAGUAACAACCGAUACCAGAACUGUCAACAAUAUGCGAUAUAAAACUUCUGUGUUUUGAUAACAAUCUUCCAUUUGUUUCAAAAAAUUGAGCACUCCAUUAAGCUUCCCAACUUCAUUUAGUAUUAAUUCUCGGAGAAUUUUAAUUUCAUAAACAGAUCAUCACUAACUAUGGAUGCAUACCAUUCGUUAAAAAAAUCUUCAAAUCUGCAAAUUCUAUUUUCUUUCUAAAAUAUAAUUUGUUGCCCUUAACUAAUAUUUUUCUAGAGAAAAGUCUAUAAACAUUACAAUUACAAAUAUUAUUAUUUUAUAAAAAAUCUUUUAAAUUUUUUUUAUUUAUAUAUUUUUUUAUUAAAAAAAUUAACCAAAAUUAAAAAAUUGGAUGUCCUAAUCCGUCGUUUACCUCGCCUAUGCUCUGGGCCGACCUUGGUUACGUCCCGUGAUCCUAAGCUAAACCUAGCUGCUUAUUCUAUUUUUGAAAGUUGUAUCGCCGGUUGUCCAAAAAUCUAGAGAUUAUUACACAUAUAAUUUGAACAAACAUAUUUUGAAAUAAUGUAAAAAUUAUGGUUGGUUUUUUAUGGUUAACUAAAUAAUUGUUUUUAAUAUAUGUUUUUCUAUAUGUAUGCGUUUGCAAUGCUAUCUCUCUCUUUUUUUUGUGCAAAUACUAUCUCUCUUUUAGAAUCAAAUAUAGAUUUGUAAAGUGACCUAAUUAAAUAUCUAUAUGAAAAAAAAAUAUUAAUAACAGCAUACUAAAAUUGUCGAGGAGGAUCGUGUCUAUUUGUCAUAACCUCGUUUUCAGCCUCAUAUCUGCGACUACGAUGACCUAAUUUCCGUUUUCUCUCUUUUUCACGAUUUUAUUCGUUUUGUGUGUGAGUUUUGUAUGUUUUAUUAAAAUAUGUAAUAUAACGACAAAUCUAUUUAGGACCCAAUAUCUGAUUUUGAACUUAAAACCGAAUAAGCUCAAAUCGCAUUGGUUUUCUAUUGCCAAGCGGUUUACAGUGAUUAAGUGGCCGUGUUUUCAAACAUGUUCAUACCUAAAAUUGUUUAAAAUAACACAAACUAAUAUAUAAUUUUGAAUCUUGCUUAUAAGUUAAUAUAAAUAGUAUUUUUGGAGAGAAAAAGAAAACUAAAAGUCUACAACGUUGACAUGUAGGCUAAUUAAGUUGGAAUAAAAUAUCGCCAAUUAUGUAUAUCUCCAAUCCAUGACGUUUCUAACAAGUAAUUGAAGUAAUAUAGUAAAAAAGAUAUAGCCCAAUGGCUAAGAGAAUGAGGGUUUUGGAGGGAAAUUGAUGAGUCUAAAAUUGAACUACUAUGUUUCCAUGUCGGCUAAUUAACCCUUUUGCAUUUUGCUCCUUCUCUUCUAUCAAUCUUAUUGAUAUUCAGAUUAUGAACGUUUAGUUGGACAAGCUAUGUGUUUUUCAUUUUGAAACAAGUUCAUAUAUUCAUACCAUCGAAAAAUUUAAGCUCAUUUAGUUAAGCUCCAGAUUUUUUUUUUUUUUUUUUUGGGUGGGCUAUUAACCAUCGUAGGCUAGAAAAACAAAGCCACUACCCAAAACAGAGCUAAAGCCAAAAACAGAGAUAUAGCUUAACGCUUUAGCGCUUUUUUUUGUUCUUGUGUAACAAGUGUGCCUUAUUUGUCAAAUAAUGAGCGAAUCUUGGAGAUAGUAAACACCAACAUACGUUUUAGUUCUCCAACGUUACUCCGCGUAUACAGCUUUAGUGUUGUUAAAGAUCAUUUGCAGAAUCCUCUGAAGCUAACCUAAAGAUGGUGGGAUGCCAUUAAAGAAGAAGACUAACAAUAGGAGGAAGCUAUUAAACGACUCAAUUGUUUUGUUUUUUUUUUAAUUGUUUUUUGAAAAAAAAUAUAUAAUACAGUAGAUGAUUUACCAUCCUCCCUUCUUUAUAGGAAUCGAUUCCCCACUUUCCAUAUUUCCAUGUUUUUAAUGAUCCAUUGGUUUACAGCUACCUAUUUAAAGACCUAAAACAAAAUAAAUAUAAGCAGAUGAGAUCAUUUUCUACAAAUUUAAAGUAAAUCCAUCUUGACCAGUUUCUAAUCCAUUAGACAUGAAGAUCCUUGCAUUGAUGCUCAUUGCCAUCAUCAUACCCUUGAUGAUGAUAUCAUUUCCGGCUUCGAUCAAAGCCGCCGGCAGAGGAGGUGGCAGCAGCUCCGUUGGUGGGGGUGGUGUUGGCAUUUCGGGUGGGCGAUUUGGCGGAAGUGGCAGCAGUGGCGGCAGUAGGAUGGGCGGGGGCUAUGUUCGUGGCGGCAAUAUGUGGGAUGAAGAAGAAGAAGAACCUGAGACGGGUAGGUAUGGUGCUAAUCCUAGUAGCCCUAUAGGUAGGGCUGGUCCUGUUCCUACAGGGGGAUAUGGAAGUAGUGGGACAAAAUAUCCAAAGCCUCAAAAGGGUGGAGGGGACCCGGGAGUGGCGAUUGUGGUGAUCCCCAAGCCACUUGUGAAGGAGCUGCCAAAAGAAUGCAAAGAGGAUCUUAGAGAUUGCAUCACUAAGCAUAUAUCCGAAGGUGGGGAGGAGCCUAAACACCGAGGGUCAUGUUGUGUUAAACUUAAAAACUCAAUACCAUGUGUCUGUAAAUUCCUCACGUCCAAGGAUCCAAAGGUGCAAAAAGCAGCUAAUGGUGUGCUUAGAGGUUGUCAUUACCGUAAACCCGUUUGUAUUAAGAUGCCAAUGCCACAAGAAUGCAGACAAGAGGUUAGACAUUGUGUCAAUACGCAUCUUUACGGAACUGCCGGCCAGCCUAGAUACCGAGGGGCGUGUUGUAUGAAGUUUAAAAACUCGAAAUCUUGUGUGACUAAAUUCCUUGUCUCCCCGGAUCCUAAGCUAAACGAAAAUGCUAAUGGUAUACUUCGAUGUUGUCAUUUCCGUAAACCCUAAUGGAUAAACAACUAAAUUAGCAAGCUUAUUUUGAAAUUUUGUACAAAUUAAUCAUAUGGUUUUUUUUUAAUCAGUAUUGUUAUUGAUUUUUGUAUAUAUUUUUAUAUAUAUUUAUACGUGUAUGUAUCUCUCUUUGAAAAUUAAAAUAUACACUAGCAUGGUAUGUGUAAUUUUAUUUAAUUUAAAAAAAGGUUGUUGAAGUCUUAUGCUUUAUGAGAAGGCUUGAAAAAAAAAACAUCUCAACAAAUGUUUAGACAAGUGUUUUCUCAAAUAUUAUAUUAGGAAUUAGUUAGAUGUAUACCAUUUUUUUAAAAAAAAAAUUCCAACGCGAUUUUGGUCACAAUUUUAUUAGUAAAAUGUAACAAUCAAAUGAUCAAUUAGAAAAACAAAUUAAAAAUGCAAAACAUCACUUACUUUGAAAACGUCUUUGAAUAUGUAACGACAACAACUUCACUGUUUCGAGGACUUUUUGUCUUAUAAAAAAAAAGUAAAUUUCAUGUCUAAAUAGCAAACGCAUGGCAGUCCGAAAAUACGACGAGGAAUUGUUCUCUGAAGAUUUUACCGCUACUAGUAAGGAGUGACAAAACACUUUGUGUGAUAGCUAUGAAUUAACGUAUAACAAACUUAAAAAUGGUUGUAGAUAAACAAGUAGUCUUUUCAAAACUAAUACUCCAUAAAUUUUGGACCGUCUAGAGAUGUUUGAUAGCAGCAGUGAUAUGCCUAUGCAUGUUUGAUUCGUCCAUAUCAGUUUUUAAAAUGUAGUUUACUGGUUUUAUUUGUUUGAUCUAUUAACUAGAGAGAGAAGGGAAAACUAAUUCUCAUUAAUUCUCUGUAAAUGUGUUUGAUACAUAUAUAUACAAGAUGGUUAUAUGGUUAAGUAAAAGGAAGCUUAACCAAGAUAAACUAAUAAUACAUAUAUGGUUAAUACACCCCCCUCAAGCCGAAGCUUUUUCCGGAAUGUAGAGGCUUGAAAGUGAUAACCUCUUCAGUAGAGAGUGAAAAGGACUUGGAUGGAGAGGCUUGGUGAGAAUAUCUGCAAGUUGAUUCGUUGUGGAGACAUGAAUUAACUUCAGAAAAUCACUCUUUACUUCAUCUCUGGUAGUAUGGCAAUCUACUUCCACAUGUUUGGUCCUCUCAUGGAAAACUGGAUUGUUAGCAAUAUGCAUUGCCGAUUUGCUGUCACAAAAAAGCUUAGUCUUCGAGGAGACAGGUAUAUGAAGAUCCUGCAACAACUGAAAGAACCAUUUCAACUCGCCUGUAGCUACAGCAAGGCCACGAUACUCAGCUUCAGUACUACUCCUGGCCACAGUCUCCUGCGUCUUCGACUUCCAUGUAAUGAGGGAAUUGCCAAGGAAAAUACAUAAACUAGUAACCGAACGCCUUGUAUCAGGGCAUGUAGCCCAAUCUGCAUCCGCAAAACCAUUGAGGCAAAGAUCUGUAUCAACUGAGUAGAAAAGACCUUGUCCAGGGUUCAUCUUCAAGUAUCUCAAUAUAUUGUGUGCCGCAUGAAGAUGCAUAUCAGUUGGACAGGAUAGAAACUGGCUAAGACGAUGAACAGCAAACGUAAUAUCUGGACGAGUGAUGCAGAGAUAUUGAAGUCUCCCGAUCAAUUCUCUAUAAGGUGUAGCAUCAUCCAACCGUUUUCCAGUUUCUUUACUUAGUGACACCUUCGGAUCCAUGGGAACGGACCUUGGUUUACAUCCUAGCAGACCCGUAUCCUCAAGAAGGUUCAAGCAAUAUUUCCUUUGAGAUAUAGAAAUACCCUUUGAAUUCCUAGCUAUCUCAAGACCUAAGAAGAAUCUAGCUGGACCUAGAUCUUUUGUCUUAAAAUGUUUCGCCAGUGUCAACUUAACAGAUACUACGGCUCCAUCAUCAUUACUAACUAUGAGAAUAUCAUCAACAUAGAUUAAGAGAGCUAUGAUUGAUGUACCUCGAAUUUUCACCAAAAGUGUGUUGUCAGCAUAUGACUGAAGAAAACCAUCAUCUGUUAAAGCCUUGGUAAGGCACUUGUACCAUUGGCGGGAGGCUUGUUUGAGUCCGUAAAUGGACUUACGGAGUCGACACACUGGAUUUGGCGGUAACACUCCUGAAGUUGGUGUAUAUCCUUGCGGCAAACUCAUGUAAAUCUCCUCGUCAAGAUCACUGUGGAGAAAUGCAUUUGAGAUAUCCAUUUGAGUCGUGCUCCAUCCUUGUCUCGCAGCAAGACCAAGAAUCAAUUUAACACUAGCCAACCGUGCAACUGGGGAGAAUGUGUCAAAAUAGUCCACCCCUUCUUGUUGUGUGAAGCCCUUUGCAACAAGGCGAGCCUUGUAGCGUUCAACAGUACCAUCGGCAUGGUACUUAAUCGUGAAGACCCACUUGCAGCCAACCACAUUUUUGCCAGGAGGUAAACUUUCAACAUCCCAAGUUCUAUUAUCCUCCAUAGCAUGAAGUUCCAGGUUACAAGCAUCCGUCCAUUCUUUAGAUGCCAUAGCCUGUUUGAAAUUCUUCGGUUCUUUUUCCAUUGAAAAUGAGAGAACAAUAGACUGAUAUAUGGGAUUUAGCUUUGAGUAAGUCAGAACAGAAGAAAUGGGAUAUGGAGUAGAAAAAACCUGUGUAGAAUGGGGAGGAGUAGAAAUUUGAGUGAGAGAGCAAUGGUAAUUAGACAAGUAACUAGGUACCUUUGUGUUGCGCUUCGGUCUAGCAUUAGGUAGUGAAGUAAUACCGGUUUCUGUAAUAACAGGGGUUAGAAGUAUUUCCUGGACAAAGAGAAGGAGAUUGUGAUGCAGAUGAUGAUGUAUGAGAUGGAGGAAUAUCAGGGGAAGAAGAAUGAUGCAUGUCAGGUAUAUGAGAUGAGCUAGAAUGUGGAAUUGUAACAUGUUCAUCUAAGACAGCAGGAAUUGGUAAAGGAAGUAUAGAGCUUUGGAAAAUAUCCACUGAAUGAUUAUCAGAGAUAGUGGCAAAAGGAAAUGUAGAUUCAUGAAAAACUACAUUCCUAGAGACAGAUAUAAGAUUCGAAUCCAAAUGUAAGACUUUGUAUCCUUUAUAUCCUGUGGAAUAUCCUAAGAAGACACACUGAUCUGCACGAGGACUAAACUUGUUCCUAUCUUUUUGUAAAGUAGAAACAUAGCAUAAGCACCCAAAAGAUCGAAGAAAAGAGUAAUCAGGGGUUUUCUUUAGUAAAAGUUCAUACGGGGUUUUGUUCUUGAGAAGAGCAGAUGGUAAUCUGUUAAUGAGGAAGACAACAGUCAAAAUGCAUGAACUCCAGUAUAUUAAUGGCACUUUCGAUUGAAAUAAAAGAGAUCGUGCAACAUUUAACAAAUGCUGAUGUUUUCUUUCAACAACUGAGUUCUGUUGUGGUGUGUAUGCACAAGAAAAUUGGUGAACAAAACCAUAUCGAACAACUAGAUUAGAAAAAGCGAGUUCAGGAGCGUUGUCAGUUCUAAUAGCCUUAAUAACAGUAUUGUAUUGUGUGUGAAUAUGAGUAAUAAAGGAAGCAAAACGUUGGUAAACUUCACUUUUGUAUUUCAUCAAGAAUAUCCACGUUACACGAGUACAGUCAUCGACAAUGGUUAAAAAGUACCUAUAACCUUCAACAGACUCCGUAUUAAAAGGGCCCCAAAUGUCUAAAUGAAGUAAAUCAAAUGGAAGACUAGACAUGUGAUUAUUAGACUCAAACGGUAAUCGUUUUUGUUUAGCUAAGGGACAUAUUUGACAAUGAGACUCAGAGGACUUACUAGACUUGGACAGAGGUAAAACAUUGGACAAUUGAGCUAAUCUCUCAUAAGAUGGGUGGCCAAGACGUUGGUGCCAAAGCGAAUUAUCAAGCAUCACGGAUCUAGAGAAAAAUGCAGAUGAAGGAGGAUUGUGAAGUUGUAAUAUGUAGAGAUUGUGAAUGAGAUGUCCUCUACCAAUCAUCAAGCCCUGAAUAGACUCCUGGAUGAAACAAGAAUCAAUGUAAAAAUGUGCUGAACAAACGCCAUUGUGAAGUAAACUACUGACAGAUAAGAGGUUGAAUUUGAAUGAAGGGACAUGCAAAACAUUAUGUAAUGACAGGGAUGGUGAUAAAUGUACUGUGCCAGUGUGUGUAAUCUCUUCUCUAUGUCCAUUCGGAAGUGAUACUGUUAUUCCAGAAACCGAUACUAUGUCACUAAACAAAGCCAAAUCAAAACACACAUGACAAGUGGCACCACUGUCAAUUAUCCAAGAACCAGGGGGGAGAUUAUUAUAUAGAGUGGAUAAACAUUUAUGUUGGAAAGUCAGUCUAUCAUUUUCAAAUCUCAAUGAAGAAGAUGGAAAAGGAAUGAUACCAGAUGAGGAUUGAGCAGCCAUAAUUCCAUGCUCUGUAAUGGUAGCAGUCGGUGCACUAGACGAUGGAUUGUCUGUAGGAUCUGAGACUUUAACUUGUGCACUCAGCUGUUGAAUGAGAGUCUGAACCUGCUCCGGGUUCAUGUUACUAAAGUCGAGAUUCAAAGGGGAUUGAGCUGGAGGUGGCAUGUAUGGGUAAGCAUCAGUCAUCAUAUUUGCCACAACUUGUGGUCUUGGACUUUCAAAUCUUCCUCGGGGUUGAAAAGCAGGAAAUUGUCCUCUUGGUUGAGAUUGAGGUUGAGUAGGGGCGAAUGGUCUUUGACCUUGAUUGUAAGCUGAGGAAGCACUCUUGUAGCCAGGAAUAUAUCCAGGGGGAUACCCAUGUAGUUUGAAGCAUCGUUGAAUAACAUGUCCUGUUUGACCACAAUGAGUACAAACUGGUCUCGUUUUGGGUCGAUAGUUGUUCUGUAAGGCAUAUGCUGCAUAAUCCACAUUUUCUGAGGUGUCCUGAGUAGACUGAGUAGGACCAGAACUUUGGAAAACCACAUUUUCAGGUCUCGUUGGCUUCAUUGACUUUUGUCUCUCAUCUUGUGCUACCAUAUUAUAUGCAUCUUCAAUUGACGGUAUUGGCUUGAGAACAAGAAUAUGUCGUCGAAUUGACUCAUAACAUUCAUUUAAUCCCAUCAAAAAUUUGAUGACUCUGCUUCGAAGUUGCAUCGAUUCCCAUUGAGUUGCUGCAUUGCACUCACAUUUUCCACGAGUACAUACUGGUAACUCAACAUAGUUGUUGUAUUCUUCCCACAGUGUGAUGAGUUCCGUAUAGUAAGAGCUAACAUCCAAAGAUCCUUGAUGAAUAUUACUAAGCCUUUGUUCUAUCUCAAAGAUUCUAGGAGCAUCAUCUUGUUUGAAUCGAGCUAAGAGAUUUUUCCAGAUACCUGAAGCCGUGGAGAUGAACAAAAGACUUUGGCCAAUCUUCUUAGAAACCGAAUUCAUGAGCCAUGUGGCCACCAUAUCAUUACACCGGGACCAAGAUCCGGCAUCUCUAUCACCAUCUCUAGGUUUAGGAAUCGUUCCGUCGAUGAACCCUAGCUUAUUGCGGACAUUGAGCGCCAUACGAACCGAACGUCUCCAAGAAUGAAAGUCUGUGCCAGUGGUGAGUCGAUCGGAAACUAAGAUAAGUCCAGCAUGAUCAGAACUAUGAAGAUAGUAAUGAUUUUCGUAUUGGUCCAUCUGUUGUGAGGUACCACCCGAGGAUUGAUGUAAAUCAGGAGCCAUCGCAAUGUGCGAGAAAUCAAGAAUCUGAACAAUUCAAUGUGAAUCGAACGAAAGAAAGAAGAUGUAAGUGCUGAAAAUGAAGAAGAACAGCAAGAACUAGGUCAAACAAGAAGAAGAAGAACAGAGACAACGAUCGAUGCAAUCGCUGAUUGUAGAACCAGACAAACGUUAACGAGAAUCUCAACAAGAAUCAAAUUGAUCAAAUCUCUUCGGGAAGUGCUCAUCGAGAUGAAUCGAAGCUUAAUCGAAGAUGAAAUCAAGCUUGAUUGAAGAAAAAAUCGCGAUGAAGAAGAUGAAGUCGUUACGCGGAAGAGAGAGUGUUAGAGCUCUGAUACCAUAUUAACUAGAGAGAGAAGCGAAAACUAAUUCUCAUUAAUUCUCUGUAAAUGUGUUUGAUACAUAUAUAUAUACAAGAUGGUUAUAUGGUUAAUUAAAAGAAAGCUUAACCAAGAUAAACCAAUAAUACAUAUAUGGUUAAUAUGAUCGGCUCAGAAGUUGGGGAUUGAAUAUCUCUUCGGCUUGUGUUCUUUGUUCUAACAGAAUAUCCCAUGAUCAUCUAUUAUUUGGCUUCGAUUAAUCUCUCCAAAUUUGGCAUGAUCUAACUUCUAGGAUAUGGAAAAAUCUUCCUAUAGAUCUAUUGAGUUCUGCAUCAUGGAUUCUUCAGCCUCGACCACCUCCACAAUCCUCAGCAUCUGUUAUCAUCAAAGUUAUCAAACAUAAUCUAUUUAGUUAACCUUUAAAAUACUUACAUUUAUAAUUAUACAUACAAGCUACUUAUCUAUAUUUCAUGUAAAAAUAUUUAAAGUGGGGGAAAAAUGUGUAAAAAUAUGUAGUCUAGUUAUUAUAUUAAUGUCGUUGCUGAUUGUGCAGUUGUUAAAUAAUGAUAUGAAGAUAUUACUGUAUUCGUUUAAGAUGCUAGAAGAAAACUUAAUCAGGAAAGCCCAGUAAUAACGUCCAAUGUCAGGGCCCAUCAUGUGUUUAGGGUUUCAAAAGGAAUUCGAGCUAUAUGGUCCCUCUCAUUCAAUAGCGAGACAUUCCUUUUAUGUUCACUUCCUUUGAUCGAGUUUUUUGUUUGUUUGUAUAGACUGAUAAUCAGCAUCAAAUACUAGCCGUAAUUGAAAAUUAAUUUUGAUAUUAAAAAGAAAACAAAAAAAAAACAUGUGUUCUAUCUUUAAUGGUGCAAAAUCAAAUAAUAUUUUUUUUUGAUGAGAUAUACGUGUGUAUAUCGUAUGUUUAAGUUGAUUUUUUUUUGCUCAUGAAAAGAAAAUACUGUCGGGAUUUUUGUAAUUAAAUGUGGUUUGUUUCUCAUGUGGAUUUGGAAUUUUCCCAAGGACCUACAAGCAACCAUAUGAUAUUAAAUGCGUGAGGCAAUAAAUUAGAAAAAAGUAGGACUACCUGAAUCUAUCCAACAUUGUUUUAUAUUACUUGUCUUUUCAUUUUUGCAUAUUCAUCAGCUCUGUCGGCAAACUGAGGUCCACUUUGAUAAGUCUUUAACUUUUUUUUUUUGCAUUUCUCCUUUUGUUGAGUGAGCUCCAUUAUAUUACCCCAUAUACAUUAUAGUAUACAUAAAAAGGAGCUCAGCUCGAUCAUAUUACUUGCAACUUUUUUCGAUUUUUUUUUAUAUUUAGGUUAUAUCUAUUUCGAUAAUGUAAGGCGAGUAGAUAUGUGUGUGUUUUAGUGUGCAAGUGUUUCUGUCGGUGAAAUUGAGCGUAAAUCUUGGGCGCUUAUUUAUUAGCCGAGUUUUGCGUUAGACGAAAAGAUUGAAUUAACCAUCAACUACUAUAUGUAAUACUACAGAGCUUUGUUAGUUUAUCUUUUUAUUCUCUAAUCCAGAUCGUAUUUGGGUAAAAUUGUGAUUAAUUAAUUACAAACAUACCUAAACAGUACUGUAAAUUGUAUGAACGUAAGACUAGAGAUGUCAGAUCGUUGAAUAAAUGUCUCAUUUGACUUUUUACUUAUUUAGACUAAUGAUUUUCAUUAAAAUAUGAUGCAUUUCCCUAUUCAGAAUCAGAACUAACAUUUUUUUUUUUAAUAUGGUUUCUCAGUUCAUAGUUUAGACGUUUGUUUUUCAUUACUUUACGAUUUAUAUGGAUAAACAGUAUUGAUCGUAGAACAUCAAAAUCAAGAAAAAAAAAUAAUAAUAUAUAUAUUCAUAAGUUGAAUAAUCUUAAAAACAUAAUUCUUUUUAACAGAAUCAUAAUUUAAAUAGUUAAAAACACCAAAAGCUACUAUUUAAUACACUAGUGACUACACUAGACAAUUGUAAUUUACUCGUAACUGAUAACUUGUUUUUACAAGUUUUUAAACAAAUUAACCCAUCCAAUAGAAAGGGAGAUAUGAUCUAAUCGCUGUUCUCAAAAUAAAAUGAGAAGACAGGACCGAGGCAGUGGGACACACGGAGUAAAAGUUAAUUUUUCAAACUCAGUGUGGCCCCAGAUCAUCUAUCUUAUUCUUUCCUAUUAUAGUAUUUAAUGCUUCAAUCCAUUUUCCCCUUCUUUAUUUGUUUUUCUCCUUUUUCUUUUUUAAUUUUACUUUAUUUCAAUGUUCCUCACAACUGCCAUUUGAAAAUUAGAAGUACAUUUCUUUCUUACUAUAUACACUAUCAUUUAAUUGGUUGUUUUAUUAUAGCAACUGCAAAAUAAACAAUAAAACAUAUUACAUAUUAAUAGUUGUUGUUACUGAUUGUUGUCACCAACAACUGUGAAACAAAAGAAAGCCAUAAUAUUUUGCGUAUUAAUUAACAUCUACUAUGUGAAUAGCCUAGAUACCCGUUCAACAGUAUAAAACAUCCUACCCACUCCCACCUCUAGACAACACAAUCUUUCAUGCCUUUAAUCAAGCAUCCUCAUUCUAAAGUACACCAAUCUUUAUUAGAUUUUAUUCAAUUCAAUAGUAAUAAAUUAUACUCCUAGAAAACAUUAAAGUCGCCAUGUGGAUGCUUAUAAAGCACAAGAAGAAUCCUAAUAAGUCUCAAUUCAUACAACUAUUUGAAAAGCUAAAGUUAAUGGGUCUUCUUGUUUUGCUCUCCUACGGUAAAUAGGAAAACUUGUUAGCAGGAGAGUAGUUAAUUAUGAUAAAUGGUGCAGUAGAAACCCAAACUUUUAUAGUUUUCAAAUUCAAUAAAUAACAAAAUGAAAAGUAGACUCGAAAACCAAAUAUUCCUUAUCCAAUUAUAUUUGUUCUGUUUCGCAAGUGUCAAUUUAAAGUUAAUUGUGUUUCAUAAAUUAAGAUUUAUCCAAAGAUAGUAAAAUUGAGUCAAAUAAUGAGGCAUAUCAGCAUACGUGAAUAAUUUUUAAUAUUUGUAAAAAAUGUCAUAAUCAAAUCCCCUCUAUACCAACUUUAUAUUUUAGUGUUAUAUAACUGAUCGAUAGUAAAUUUUUUUUUUUAUAUAAUAUAAACCAGUCUCCCUCCCCCUUUAUAUUGGAUACUCACCUUAAAAGACGAAACACUUAGUUUCUGUAUUUCUUCUUCAUCUUCCAUCUCACCUGUUUUCUAAAAGCAAGCCUUUUCAAUAAUGGGCAAUAAACGCAUAGAAGCAAUGAUGAUUUUAGUGGUAGUUAUGAUGAUGUUCUCAUGGAGGAUUUGUGAAGCGGAGAGCUUAAGAAGACACACGUCAUCCUCAAGACGAGGAAGAUUUUUUAAGGUGAGAAGACCAAAUCCACUACAUCAUCAUCAUGGUUUCAUUGACCAUGAUUAUCCUCCAGAAAGUUUCUCAGGAUUUUUGCCCAAGACAAUGCCAAUUCCACGUUCUGCUCCUUCCAAGAAACACAACGUCUAUGGUUUACAGAGUACUAAGUCCCAAACAUAUCCAUGAUCUUUAUCACCAAGAUCACUUACACAUAUUACAUAUAUACAUACAUAGCUAUAUAUGCAUGAUACAUACCUAUAGCAUAGAGAUCUAGUUAUGUCUUUAAUUUCUUCUCUCUCCCCUUUCGUGUUUUCUUUUUUAAUUUUUAAGAAAGUUUUCUGGGAAGGAAUUGUUGUAUUUGCUAAUUCCAUCGAGAAUAACCAAAUUAAGGUCGAGCUAUUUUUGGAUGCACGCCUACUUAUUUUAACCCUACUUAGCUUGGGUAAUUAUGUAUCCUAUAUGCAAUUGUGAACUCAUGAUUGAAUCAUUGUAAUGCAUCAUGCUAAUGUACCUUCUCCGUUCUAUCACUAAACCACCUAUGUUCUACUUGUAUUUUAUUUUUUAAAGUCAAGAAGCAUUUAAUGCUUAGUAAUGAUUUUUCUCAUAGUAUUAAUCACCAACAAAUACUCCAGAAACAAAAGAUUACCAGAAUUGACAAAAAAAAAAAAACUAAAUACUAACAAGUUUUAUAUAGAUCUCGAAGAAAUAAAUAUGUCAUAUUAAUGACCACCUACAAAAUUUCUUCGGACACGUUCAGACAUAUUACAUGGGACCUGCAGACGCUAAAUUUUUCAUAAAUGAAGUCACAAAUUAAAUGAAGUCAUCAUAAAUGAUGCGACGACAUAUAUAUAUAUAUUAUUGGCAUAUACUUUAUGCUAAUGGAAAUUAUUAUUUCUUCAAAAGGAGAAAACAUAGAGUAGUUUGCAUACAAAUGACUGUAUAUGUACCAUCAUAAAUCUUAACGUUGACUUAAGUUUGUCUUGUAGUUUCGAUUUGAUAAUCAAAAAGAACUUUGAAAUGUUGUAGUGAGAGGAUACAACACAUUUAUUAGCAGCACCAACUAACCAACCAUACAUUAGUGAUCUUAUUGCAGCCAAACACUCCAGUUCGACUUUUGCUAUAGCUUAAUUACCAUUGCAAUUUGUAAUUAAUGAAUUGAGGUUUCCAUUAUUUUGUGUCUACUUGACUGCUUCUGCGUUAGCUUUUAGUCUACAUUUUUUAACAGAGACGAACACACAGAGUACUUAAUCAUGUUAAGGAGAAAUUAUGUGUGUUUUAUACGUAAACGCUUAAUGCAAACGCAAAAGUUAAUUAUGAGUUGCGUUUAAAACAAUGGAGACAUGUAAGCCUUACAAAAAUAAAAUCUAAGAGCAUGAAUUUCUUUAUUAGAAAAUCAGAACUAACCGCAUCAUAUGUAUUGUAAAGUUAUACUAGUAUGAGCUAACUAUAUGAGUUACUUGGGCGACAAAAAUAAAAUAAAAUGAGAUUUACCUGAAAAGGCCUUUAGGUUGUUUCCAAAGCAUAGAAAUUUUUAAUAUACAUAUAUAUAUAUAUAUAUUAUGUAGUAUGAAUAAAAAGGUCGAAAGUUGUGAUGGAAUAAUUUUAGGUUUCCUAUAAGUUAUUUUUUUAGUUACUGCUUUAAGACAAUAUGACAAGUUGAUAAAAGCGUCGGUCAACAUAUUAACUAAUCAGAGUUCAAAAAAUACUAACGCAAAAAUGAUGGAUAAAAUUGAAAGAUAAGUAAAUAUAAUGAAUGACCCAAAUUAUUGUAAAGUCUAAAAUGGUAGACAAAAAGAAUAUAUGAAGAAUGAGAAUGAGAAAACUGUAAUAGCAUUGGAAGUUGAUGUAUUUUAGCUGCCAAAAUUCGUUGUGGGUUGACUUAUAUUUUGAUAACACAUUAUCACCUUUAGUCACACAAUUAGGUAAUGACAAACGGUUGUCAUUAGUCUUUUAAUCACAAAAGUCGACAUUUUUUCAAUCUAAAAAGUCUGAAGACCUUGAUUUGGCAAUUCGAAUUCGAUACUUCAACGGUGUUCUCAACAUAUAUAUAUAUAUAUAUUGUUGCUAAAGUGAUCUGAGAACGGGACGAUCAUUUUAUAUAUACAACAUACAUGUAGAGGACAUUACUCUCUCACAAUAUCGAAUCGAGAUAGACAAAGAACAAAAAACAAAAAGGCAGAAGAGUUAGGUUGAACAAUGAAGAGUUUCGGGGCAAAAUGUGGAGAAACUUAAAAUUAUGGGGCAAAAUCAUACAAAUGUUUAUAUGACUACUACUGAGGAAGAACGUCUUCUUCUUCUUCGUCUCUGUCUCUAUGCGUUUGAGAAGCUGUUGAUUUCUCCGACACUCUCACGUUAUAUUUCUCAUACACUUUUUCCCGAUUCUCUGACCACCAUGUCUCUGCUUGAUGUUCUCCGAAUCUUCUUCGGCUGCGAAAAAGAAAAAAAAAGAAAGAAAUUCACAACCUUUAGCAUCAUCAGACUGACUGGUAAAAAGUUGGAAUGUAUAAAUCAAGAAUAUGAGCAGAUGCUAAACCUGAAGCGGACUCUUCUUAGAUCUCUAGUUCCAUCGUGGAGGGCGACAAGGGUUAUAUACACGCCAGGCUCGUACUGUUCGAUCCACUCUGCUUCUACCUGAUUAGUAUUGUUGUUAACAGCUCCUGUUUGGCUCGAACCAUUGUCGCUGCUGUUGUUUUGAAACUGAAAAGGCUCGUGUCUCUCACUGACUACUGACCCGCUGCUGCUAAGCCGUGGAUCUGCUGGAUAAGCGUUGUUGUUGUUUCUUUCGCUGGCUCGAGGCGUGUGCUUUGGUGAUUGGAGAUUGGACCAAGAUGAUGCAUUUGCAAAGGCAAAGUCAAAAGGAGCAACUGAAGAUAUAGAAGAAGUCAUCGACUCCGACCUUGAAGGAUGGAAACCAUUUUCUUCAGGGAAAAAAUGGAAACCGUUGUGGUCAAAUCCGUUGGCGAGUUUUAUACUCUCACCAGGAGGCAACUUCUCAGCUACAUCCUUGAGCUGUUUUUCCAGAAACCAAAAGAUAGCUUAUUAUGAGUCAACGGAGUCUUCCUUUGUGAGAUCUCAAGCUUCGAUGUAGUUGACAACAAAUAUAUAUAUAUUUGAAAACCGAUUACAUUAUACCUGCGCUAUGAGCGACUUUAUUGCCUCUUUUGCGGCUCUUGAUUUGGCAGAUUCCUCCUCUGCCAAUGCUAAAGCUUCCUGAGUCUUCUUAACCGAAUUCUGGAGCUCCACUUCUUGGAGCUCACACUUUUGAAUCAGACUGUCAACCUAAACCACCAAAUCAGAUGAAUGAAUGACAAUAUUACCACAUCCGAUACAGAAAGUGAGUGACUUGAGUGCCCUUCUCUGAGAGAGAUGCAUGUACAGUACCUGUGUUCGUAACUUAUUGAUCUCCUGAUUCAGCAUUUCAUUGGUCUUUUUCAUGUUAUCUGCUAAACCCACCGGAAAAUAGAUUCCGGAAGUUGAAGGCAUAGGAGUGGCAGAGCGUGGAGGACUAGAUCUCCUAGAGAAAGGUGACACCGACCUGGAGCUAAUAAUACCUGACUGAGCCGGAGCUAGCUUUGGAGUAGACCUUCGCAUGUCGCCUAUGUUAGACUGCACAGCAUCUUUCAGCUGCAGCAAGGAAGGCAGCUGAGAGUUACGACCGAGUGAAAAAUUGUCAGUCUUCUUCCCUUGCUUGGCCGCUUUGCUAUCAAGUUGCUUGAUCAAGUCCAUGUUGGAUGUACCAAAUCUUGCUAAUCUUAUUUCAGUUUUGUCCAACCUGUCUUUGUUCUCUCCUGAAAGACGAGGCACAGCGUUGUUUCUCCUGUUAGUAUCGUUUACCUCAGACACUUUGCUGAGCUUAACGUAACAAGAGUCGCACACACGAUACAGUCUUCCCGCGCUUGGAGCCAAUGCAGCGCGGAAUGCCUUUUUGGAACUGCAUGAGUGGCAGUGCACGAGCCCACAGUUGUAGCAGUUAUGCCUUUUCCGUGUAAACCCAAAGGCCAGUCUACAGGUCGAGCACUGAGACUGCUCAGCACCAGAGACCCAUUUGUGGAGACAUAUGGCUGCAGUGUAAUUCGAUCCGCAUGCAAUGUACUUGACGUGUCUGUCCUUCAAAGCUUCCACAAGAGUUGGCACUUUUCGAUCCUCAAGAUCACCAUGGCCUAAUCUCCCGUUGGCUCCUUUACCCCAUGUGUAGACUUCAUUUCGAGAUGUUAAAGCCGCCACGUGAUACGCACCGCAAGAGAUCUCCUCCACAAAUUCACUCGCGAGCUUGUCCUCCACCAAACACGGUAACUUCCCGUCCGUCUGAAAAUUCCCAAGCUGGCCAUAAACUGUACUCCCCAUCGUGAACACUUGUCCAGACGUGGUCAGACCAACUGUCAAACUGUGUCCACAUGCAAUCUUGUGGAAGUUGUAGUCAAUCAGUGCAGGCACACAUGUUGGCUUAAGCCUAGGAUCCUUGUCACCGUGUCCAAGACGGUUUUUGUCUCCAUCACCCCAUGUGAACAGUUUUCCAGACGAUACGGAGCUUGAGUUCGACUGUGUGACAAUGAUCUCCACAACAGCAGCAGUGUGCCAAACCCCGCAUGAAACCGCAAUCGUUCUCAACCCUGAUAAAGAUUCAACUUCCCUUGGAUACUGAACUGUUUCCCUGUCACCGUGCCCUAAGACACCAAACGUUCCAUCUCCAAAUGUAAAAAGCCUCCCAUAUGAUGUUACCAAAGCAGUAUGCCAAGGUCCACAAGUUACCGAAGCCACAUGGAGCCCCUCGAGAGAUCCCGCGAUUCUCUUUGGUAUCCAGUGACUGAUAUCAGAGCCAUGCCCUAAAAGCCCCACAUUAUGUGUACCGUCACCCCAGGUAUAGAGCUCUCCAGCCAGAGUAACAGCACAAGUGUGGAAUUCUCCACAAGCAACGAAGUCAACAGAUGAAGCAGCUGUGAGAGAUUCAACAAGACGGGGAUGAAAAACAUCCUUCCCGAUUCCAUGGCCCAGUCUUCCUCCAGAUUCUUCACCCCAAGUAAAAAUCUCGCCUUGCCUUGUCACAAACGCAGCAUGCCUGACACCACAGGCAAUCUGAUGAACAUCCAAGACAAUGUUAGACUCCAACGGCUUAGGCAGAAGGACAUCCGUUCUUGUGGUCAGAUAACUUGCAUUCUUAUCAAUCCCGACCUUAACGACACUGUCACAUAUAACCUCACCCCAAAUAUAAACGUCACCUAGCGCAUCAGAUUCAUCUGCUGCAGAACCGUGACUAGAACUACUUUGGGCACUCGAGACACUAACCCGAAAACCAUCUGAACCAGCAGAUACCUUUGUUUGCAUGUUUUUGGUUUCCAAUGCCACAUGUGAUUUCUCUGAACCAGUUAAAGGAACUUCAGGCUCAGCACUCUUAGGAGAAGCAACUGGAUCGAAAUUAAAGGGAGUCCCAGGAGAGCUGUGACCAAGUGAAGCGCUCGCAGAACUGCUGCUUGGACUGCUCGAUGUCAAGUCUCUGCUGGCCUGAAAAAAUAAUAUAUUUCAUAUCAACCAAAGAGUUCAACAGACAGAAGUCCUGAGAAAAAGACAUACACAGAGUCCUUGCCUGAAUACUUACAUCAACUGAAAUAUUUCCGCCACUCCAGCCAUCAAUUUUUGAGCGCCCGCCUUGCCCACUCGAUAUUAAUGAUUUAAGGCCUCCAAUCCAAAUUUCAGCCUCAACCUUGUCCUUACAAAUCUAUUAAGAAUUAUGAUGCCUGGAGUUAUUAUCAAGUGUUGCUGAAAUGAUUGUCGAAAUACACCAGUUUCACGAUGACUAACCAAGUCAAGAGACUUCUUUUUUCCGUUGUAUAAGAGAGAAAAGGAUAAGUAAUCUUUCUCUGGGCGAAGGUAACGCUGGAAAACAGCCUAUUGCAAAAGAUUAGAUAGUUUCUUAGAUAUGCUUGAAAGCCAGGAGGAAUUCUUUAUCUUUCCAAAUAGAUAAGAGUUUUCAUAUCAAGAACUGUGCAGAAAAGAAGACGUCUUACAGUUCUUUGCCCAGGGAUAAUUUUAGAUACAGAGGCUAACUUUAGUCGCUUUUCACCGCUACUCGAUAUCCAGAUCAAAGAUUUUUCAUCCUGUACAACCAACACCAACGAGCAUAACUUUUGUUUUUUUCUUUCUCAGAUGAAGCAAUUGUCCGAAAAACAAGUGUAAAAGAGAAGUGGUUGAGCAGACAGCAACUCACACUAGACAGUCUAAAAGGAUAAAAUUUCGGCUUUCCUUUCCGACCAUAUUUCAAAAGUUGUGUUCCCUUCUUCAAUGUAACCAAUGCCUGCCAAAAUGUACAAGAUCCGCGUAAGAAAACGGGGACUAGCUACAGGUAACACCAAGUUUAAGACUGCAUAUGCCCUUGCAUCACCAAGUUUCAAUGGUCAUUUUACACGGAAGUUUCAAAAACAACAAUUGACUAUAAUUCCAUUCUUCGAUUGAUCUAUUUUCCUAUAGCUUACAAUGCCAAGGUCUUGCUUAUUCCAUAAGCCUAAAAGAGUUCACUAGAAAAACAAAUUCAAUACACAUGUUCUAUAAGGACAAAUGACACGGGAAGAAUGAGGAAAACUCACACAAACAAUCCCCCCAAACUACACUGAGAAUUCGGGUUUCAAAUCCGGUGAUAGAUUCUUGGGAAGAAAUCAUUGUUACCAAAGAACAACAAUAAACAGAGACUUGAGAUUUGCUGGAUUUUUCGGAAAAAAAAGUUGAACAAACAAAACAAAACUCCAAACUUCCAACUUUGAACUUCCUCUUAAUCACCCCACUUCAAUCGCUGAAUGCGUAAUAAAUAAUAAUUACUCUGUAGUAACAAGAUUUAAGCUUUCUACUGCUUAGAACAAAGGAUUAUUCCCAAGUGAUCGUAAACUUUGCAAAAUUGAAAGAGAAGAAGAAAGAUGGAGAGAGAGAGAGAGAGAGAGAGAGAGAGAGACGAACCUGUUCAACGUUUUGGUCAGCAUUACUGUAGGUCACAAGAUCUGCCAUUCCAUGUGAAAAAAUCACCAGAGCACCACCACCCUCUUCGAUCCUUACCCGACGGGUCGUUCAUCAUCUAUACGAAAAAGCCCCGGAGGUCCUAGCCGCCGUGGAAACCAUCAAUAAAAGCCGUGACCAGCCAGUGAACCAGUUGCAAGAGAAUUAGAGAGAGAGAGAGGGAAACGUAAACGAAAAGCUUAAAACUUUCAAGCAAGAUGGCACUGUAAUUGACCUCCCAGAUCUACCGAUGCUUCUCCAAGAACGAAACUUUAAUAAUAAAAAUGCUAUACGAUCUUCAGAAUUCCCCUCCAGGAGUUAAAUUUGAUUCGCAAGUGCUGCUUUCGUAUGCUGUGAGAAACAAUUCGCCUCUCCGGCGAAACAAAGGACGACCUACCGGAGAAAAUAGUGGUGGGGAGAGAGAAAAUCCCGGCGGAGAAAAACGACGGAAAAGCAAAAAGGAACAAGGAGGAAGACAAGGAAGUCAGAGACAGCGAUGACAGAAUGAAGAGAGAGAAACAAAAAAAAAGAAGAAAAGAAAGUGACGACGGUGUGAGCGACGCAGUCAGAGACUGUAAAAUACCAAUAUAAAUAAAUAUAUACUCCUUUUUAACAUAAAUUUAUAUACUUCUAUUUAUUACUACUAAUAAAUAAAGAAACUGUCUAAUUAAAAACUCUUCUAUUCAGAAUUAUUUGAUGUUUUAUAAGGUUUUUUUAUUUAGAAUUAUUUGAUGUUCUCACUUUUCAAUGUCAAAUUUAAUGAAUUUUUAUAAUUUUUAACUUUUUAUAUUCUGCAGAUUGUUUUCUUAUUGGCGGAAUGAUAUUUAAAUGGAUUAUAAAUAAUAUCUUUAGUAUAAGAAAAAUAAAAAUUAAAUAAAUUCUUAAACUGUGUGCAAAAACAUUAUACAUCAAAUCAUUCUGAAAAGAGAGUAUUUUAUUCUGUUUUUCUUUUGGUACAAAACUUCUUAAAAUAAUUUAAUAUUUUUUAAAAAAUAUAGAGAGAAGAGGCAUCCCUAUAAGACUCUAUUAAGGCUAGUGAAAAACAAAAAAAAAAAGAGAAAAAGAAAAGUAAAGAGGCGUUCCCCAUGCAGUAGUACAUUCGAGUAAAUCAAACUUUUAUAGAAUCUUUAAAAUAAGCAUGUUUUGAUUACAAAAAGCACAUUUUGGUUUGUAACUUGAAAGAAAUGUGCUUGGGAGGUGAACGAGAAACCUAAAUUUUGGUGUUUGGGUGAAUAAUGGUUAGAGAUGGUCUAAGAUUUCAAAGAAGUAAAAGUAAUGCACACAAACAAAUCACAAAGUCGAUUAUGAUCUAAGUCCGAAUUGAUUCACACAAAUAAUUUUUUUCAGUAUCAACAAUUUUUAUCAUUAGUUGUAAUAAGGGAAUGCGAUACAUCCAUCGUAUACGUAUCUGUUUUAGAGCUAACAAGAAGACCAUUGAACAAGACAAUCCACAAUGUCAACUAAACCAACUUUUAAUCCGUUCUGAGUUUUUUAAAAACACUCUUAAUUAAAUAGCUAUCUGCAGCGUUUGUUUAUGGAAAUUUGUGUUUGUUUAAACAUGAAUAACAUUGUUGACUUUCUUGCUUGAGAAUGGAAUAUUAAUUAAUUUAAUCGUCGUCUAAAAAUGAGUUUUUUCAAAGGAUACUUCCGGUUUAGAUCAUAGCGCGGAUUUAAUUAUGUCGGUUUAGUUAGUCCGAUCUGAAACUCACGCGCUAAAUUGAGGUCUAUAAUGGUCAUUUUUAAAGAGGAAGCAGUUUAUUCUUCGCCGCAGACACGUUGAACGCUAGUUGUCGAUUGUACUGAAAAGACAAAAACACCCCUAAGGGAGGUAAGUGGGCCUGUUUGGUUUGGUCCCUACCUCCACAUUUCGGGGAGUUAGUCGAGGAGAAUGUAUCACUUUUGGAUGAAAACAAUAAUAUGCAUCUCCAAUUUCUCUACUUUUUCAUCUUCUUCAUUAAUCAAUUGAUUAUUGUUAAUACUAUGAUUUAUUAUUUCUUUGUGUAACAUCCUUUAACUUCACCGACGAAUUAUAUAAUUUGUGGAUAUAAACGAAUAUGCAUGUGAUUUGUUUGGCAGCAAUACAUAAUUACAUAGGAUCUAGCUCGUCUCGACAUUGUAAAAGCAAAUCGAAACCUUGGAUUGGAUGAUGCACGCCCAAGAACCAAGACACAAAGUUGUAGUUCAAUUUUCCAUACAUAUGUAUUGAAUACGCUUUAUUAUAUAUUAAUAUAUUAUAAUACAUUAUCAUGGAUGUUCAAUUGUAUAUGUCCUUUAGACUUAAAAUCAACAUCUCAUUAACAAUUUAAAAAAAAAAAAAAAAAAAUCAACAUCUGAACUACAUCUUAGAUUGGGAAAAAAUGCACCUUGAAUGGAACAAUAUACAAAAUUGUCUUCCGGAACUUUGUGACUAAGUAGUAAUUAAAGACACACAUCAUAUACUAAGACGAAGAAUAUUUUUUUUUGGAAAAAUAGCUCAUGUUGAAGUUUAUUGAAGCGUCAAUGCGUCAUGAGAUCUCAUUAUAAUACCACUUGAAACAUAUCAGCCUAGUAAUUAUGUUAUUGGUGUUUUGAGAAAUUGAGGGUUAAAAUGGAUUAGAGGACCCAUGAGAAGCUCAAGAUAGUGUCUCAUGAAAAAUUGAAAAGUCUUUAACAAAAAAGGUCUCAUGAAAAGUCCAUUAACCUAUAAUAUUAGGGUUCUUAGCAAGUAAAGAUUCAUAUAAUUUUGGAUUUAGAACAUCAAUAUAAUGUAAUUCUGGGAGUUGCCAAAAAGCAACUCAUUUCUGUCUGAAUUGUAUGAUAUGUAGCAAUCAACAAUCUUUUAGUUUUUGGUGACACACCUAUAUCUUUUCCUUUUUUAUUUUAUGCAUUUGAAUAAAGCUUAUCAGUGAGCUAUUUCUAUUUCAUUCUCAGAAAAGCUUUUUGAGUAUAAAUCUAUUUUUGUUUUGAAUCCGCUAGCAACAAUUAUUAGUAAAAGUAGGUUCCAUAUCACAAAAGAAAACAACUAAUAAAAUCAUGUCUUUGAUGUAAUAACAAAAGAAAUUUUGAUAAAAUUGAUGUAAGAACAAGGAAUGCGAUGAUAGAUUGUAUGAUUGGACUUUAGAGCAAAUAAAUGAAUAAAUGAUGAUUAAGGCAAAGGCUUGAGAAGACAAGAAAUGAAAGCUUUAACAAAAAAAAGAGAAGAAAUGAAAGUUUGGGUUUAACGAAAAAGAAAGGCUCGAAGGAAACAUGGAAAUCUACUUGCUUUGUUGGUUGUUGUGUAUGGGCCCCUCUCUCUUUACGUAUGACAUCUCCUCAUUUUCUACCUAUAUACACUUGUACAUAAACAAAUAAAAAUCUUAAUAUUUUGUCGUGAUAUUUGUCAGCUAUUAAAUUGCUUAUUCAAAAGUUCAUUCAUUGUGAUUCUGCAUGUCACCAAGUCAUAAAUACUACCAGACAACAUCAAAGUAUAUUUUGUUCUUGAUACUCCUUAAGAAAGCACCUACAACAUAUACACACGCGACAAUCCGUGAUUCACCUUAAUUACACACAAUUCAAUAAUCAGAUUGUAAAUGCUGCAUUAGUAAUGUAUUCGAAAUCCUUAUCGAGGACAAUACAUUGUUGGACACCUUCAAAACAGAAUUUGGAUUGAAACCGGGUCAUAUGGGCCCAAAAAGACAAAUUUUGUUUAAAUGGGUCUACGAUUCGAUGAUAUAGUGGCCCGUUAAACCGGCGCGGUACGGAUCGGGUCGUUGAGAAUCGGAUCUUUAACUGAAGCUGGGGAGCCAUGAAUGUCAAUCACCAAUCUCGAGGUCGAUCAAGGAGCGAUUCGAAAGAGAAGAGCGAGCGAGAUAGAGCUCUGUUGUAUUUGAAACCAGAUAGAAUCGAAGCUAUCCACUGGAAAUAGGGCUUUUGUUCUUCUCAAUCUCCUUCUUGUAGCUUGUGAUUCCUGGAUUACCUGUUUUUGUCAACUUCCAUGGCGGAUGGAUACUGGAAUCAGCAGCGACAGCAUCCUCCUCCUGGUGGUCCUCCGAAACGUCGCCGUUCCGAUUUCGGUAAGCUCAUUUCUCUUAUACUCUCGCUAGUUGGUUUCUCGAUAGCUAGAAGAAGCACAAUACGCAGUUUCAACAACUCUUUGAUUGAGGCCACAAUUGAGCACCUUGAUGAUGAUGAUCAAUAUAGGAUACAGAAACACAUGGGGAAUAGUCUGCUUUAGAUAGAUAAACCCUUCCCGUAAAUAAAUCUCCAGAUUCUGCAUUUUGUCUUCGCAGAGGCUCUACCAUCUGCAAUGCCUUCAGGCCAUGAGAUGCACGGUGGUUAUUUUCCACGGGAUGAGGAUCUUGAUGUUCCCGAUACUAGAACUAUUGGGUCUGCUUAUGAUCGCUACCUACAAAGCGUGGUGGUACCAUUCUUAUUGAUUCAUUUCAGUAUAAUCUUCUGGUCCAUUCUUCUUUCUUUGUUGACCUGGUUCAUUUUUCCUUUGUUCUUGAUGAAGCAAACACCUUCUAUGCAAUCUGGAGAAGCAGGUCAUCGUAAUGGUGUAGCCAUUGGAAGAACAGGAGGUAACGGGCAAUCAAUGGGUGAGUUUAUGAUGAGACGUGGUGGAGUUCUCCCUCCAGACCACGGUCCAGAUGGUCGUGCUUUGGGUUUUGAUCCACAAGAAUCUGUUGAUAGGCGUAACCGUGAACCACUUCCUCUACCUCCAGAUGCAUCCAACACUCUAUAUGUUGAAGGACUUCCUUCUAAUUGCUCAAGGAGGGAAGUAGCUCGUAUCCUAUUUCAUGACAAGUUUUCUUUUUUUCCUUUUCUCGAAACUAACCUUAACGGAAACUAUCUUCUCUCCACUUUCCUUAACCGAGGUCUAGAUAUAUUUCGACCUUUUGUAGGAUAUAGAGAAGUGAGACUUGUGACCAAAGACUCAAAACAUGCAAGUUUCCUUGCUUCACUCACAGUUCGGAUAUUGUUGAAAUCGCUUGUACCAGAAAUUAUAUUACUUUGAUAAACAUACUAAAGGGUUUGUAUUUAUGGUUAAUGCAGCGGAACGGAGAUCCUAUUGUUCUUUGCUUUGUUGAUUUUACAAACCCUGCCUGUGCAGCGACUGCUCUGAGCACCUUACAAGGUAAGUAAUAAUCUUACGAAAUCUCUUUCCACUUGAUUUCUCGUUCUCCUGGCUUCUUAUUCACAUUUAUCUUUAGGUCUGUUUUCAUUGUGUAACCUUUUUCAGUUGGAUUGUCUUGCUAUUUGCUAUAGCCUGAGCCUUAAGUGGCAAAUGCCCUCUCGUCCCUUAAACCAUAGACUUUAUCCCCUGUGCAGCUAUGCUCUAUAUCUCAUUUUCUUUUAAAAACCAACACAUUUCGCAGGCUAUCGAAUGGAUGAGAGUGAGCCUGAUUCGAAGUUCUUACGGCUCCAAUUUUCAAGAAAACCAGGUUCAAGACCAGGACAACGAGGAAGAAGGUAAUGACUCAGGGACAUUGAGGUACAUCAACCAAAUGAAUUUAUUGUUUCUCGUCGGCUGGUUUUAACGGAAAGAGCCAUCCUCGUUCAAGUAGAAACUCAAUGAAACCGAACAUUACAUCACUUGUUGUAUCGUUGAAGCUACCUGAAUCCUGAGAAACAAAGAUGCGUGGAGAGUGUAGAAUCUGAGGUGAUAGAACCUUAAAAUGCUAUUUUCACACAUAUAAUAUAUAUAUAUAUAUAUAUAUAUAUGUAUAUUAUUUUUGUUCCCUCCUUCUGUUAUAAAGUUGUGUUGUCGAUAUCAAAAUGUUUAUUACAAAAAGCUUGGUUUAAUAGAAUUUUAUACGAAGAGGAUUUUCUAUGGCUAAUAUCAAUAAAACAUUAUUUGCUCUGCUUUCUUCAUAAGCACUGUUUUUUUUUACCUUCGUUGUCAAUUCAUAUUUUGACUUGUAUUCCUCUCCUUUUUGUUUUCUCCUCCAGUUUAGAAAAUGAUUGAUUUUUUUUUUUUGGUCUUUCAAUAAUUCCUGUCUAUGUAUUAGAUGAAGACGUGUUUCGGGUGUGCUGUAGUCAGGGACGACUUGUGUGAUAUUUGAGAUAAGUUGUAAAAGAUUAUUUAUUUAAAUCAUUUUGUCGUCUAAAUAAUGUAAUGUUAUCUUGUUUCAUUCAUUGUCUGAAUGUGGAAAUUUUCUGUACACUUGGACAAACAAAGAGACGAACAAAAGCCUUAAGAAGACUUCAUGAAACUUCCUUUGCUUCAACAAUUUCUUACCGUCUAAAUUCUACCAUCAUACACAGAGCCAUUUGCUACUCAUAAAAUAGAUGAGGAAAAUUAAUUACACAUUAUCACUAUCAUCAAUUUACGAAAAAUGAUAAUUACUAAUCUCCUUGUCGGAAGAGUCACACCCCAAAAACGUAUAACCAUAACAAUGCUCUACUCCGCGUCUCUUUUUGUAUUACAUAUCAGAUAAUCAGAAAUCUUUCAUGUUUGUUGUCUGUCCCCUUUCACGAUUUUGAACUUCUUCUUUUUUUUUUUUUAAUGUGUACAUGUUGUCGAGUCUUCCCUAUAAAUGUAGGACAUACAUUAUUAAAACUGAAUUUCCCUAAACCAAAAGAAACUACGUUAGGUCUUGGUCUAAUGGUCAGUUAGUCAGUACCUACUAGAUCUGUGCGUGUAGUGCCUUUCACUAUCGUUGAGUCUUUCCUCAAAUUACUUUUAUAUAAGACUUAGAUAAUGAGACAAGACAAAAUUAAUAUAAGGGAUGCAUAACAAAAUUGUUCAGAAAGACGUAUGUAUACUUGUAUAGAAGCCGCCUGGCCCCCACGAAGCAGUGAAGUCUACGAACCCCUUCCAAUGCUUUCACACGGGGAAUUUAUUUGGUAAUAUACUGCAAUGGACAUCUAUAAAAAAAUACUAUAUUGCAAUGAAAAACGAAUAUAUUGUAAACUUCAAUUUUUGAAAAAAAAAAUUGUAAUUGAAGGCAAAUCUUAUAGGUUAUGGGAUCAGGUGAUUCUUGGAAUAAGACUACAUAACAUGUUGAAAUUCUGAACUUAGGAGGAUAUAUUCAUGCUUUGAACCAAAUAUAACUCGCCACAGAUGUAUUUAGAGAAAUACGUACAAUAAUGGUUGCAUUAGGAUUAAACAGAUUAUGGUUCCUUUAGCUUAAACCGAUAACUACCAUCAGCUGUAUGAAUGACAUGAUUCACUACAAAAUAAAUUACUUUUAAACUUUUGGUCAGGUAUAUUUUCUGUAUAAAGAAUAACUUUCUCCACUAGUAUUAGCGAUUCUAUUCCAUUUUUUAUAUGAAAAAUCAAUCAGGGAAAAAUAAAUUUUACUUAGAUUUUUGCAUGAGCUUUUGCUAAAAGUCAUUGAUUUAUUUGGAAUAUCAUUAUGAAAAUCCAAGCACGUCUUUUUUUUUCUCCUUUUAAUAUAAUCAUGAGUGUAAGGGAGAAAGCAAAUAAAGCAACACAAAUUUGAUGUUCUAUUAUUCAAAAAGUAAGUUAGAAAUGCAUGAAAAAAAAAAUUACUGGGAAAAAUACAGAUGAUAAUAGUGAAUCAGUGAUUACAAAUUCCUUUUUUGGUCGACAGUGAUUAAACAUUCAUUUGAAGAAAUAUUUACAUGAAUUAAUCCAAUUUUGGUACACAUUUUUCUUCUUCGUUUAUUGGAACACAUUAAGGUCAGACAAAGUGUGCAUUACGAUAGUAAUAAACUCCAAAGGUUUUUAUUAGGGAGGCAAUAGUAAAAAUUAAUAUGUUUGAAUCGAUGUGUGUUCUUUCUUUUUCAUACAUUCCAAUUUGAAUGUAUAUAUGAUGAAAAUUAUUAUUUAAAGUAUUGAUAUGAAUAUAUUAUCUCCAAAGAGGAGAAAAAGAAAUCAAAUAGCAUAUAUAUAUGCAGCUACGACCCACGUUGGAUAUUACAUAUUACCAAUCAAAUUAAAUACCCUUUUUGGUUACUUUUGUUUUCCGUGGUUGGCUUGGAGCCCUGGACUUUGAAUCACCAAACGAUGUUUGCUUUUACCUAAUUAUCUCACCAAAUUAGAGACUUUUUUGAGUAAAACAGUUUUGAACUUAAAAGAUUCUCACACACUACUAAAAACCGUUUAAAUUUUGUGUGGAAUGCAUACACAUAUAUUGCCGCUAAAGGUAACUUUCUGAUUGUUAAGUAUAUUUUUAUUCUGGAAACAAAUCUAGCAACAAAUAUAUAUAUAUAUAUAUAUAUAUAUAUAUAUAUAUAUAAUAAAAAAUGUUAGUAAUAAUUUAAAAAAAAAAAAAACCCAGCAAGGCAAAAAAAAUUUCCGCAGUUUACGUAUUUUUAUCUUCAUUCCUACUAGUUUUUUUUUUUAGAUCAUUCAUUCCUACUAGUUAUAAACUCAUAAUUAUUACUUGAUUAAUAAAAUUUUAUUAUUAUUAUUGAUAUUGUGUUUCCAUAUGAUUUUCGAACCAUAAAAUAUUUUUUACUCCAUCACUAGUACCAUGUAAAAAUAACAAAGCAUAUUUAAGUUUGUUUAAACCAACUUAUAUAUGACGGUGAUUAUAUAUUUAUAUUAAGUUUGUUUUACGUCAAUUUCUUCAGCCUCAAAAUUGUCAAGAUUAGUUAUUUAACUUUCGACGCCUAACCAAGAUAGUCAACUUUCGAGAAAAAUAAAACUAUAUAGAAUGUUAAGUUGUUGAUUUGUCUAAAUCCUAAUCCAGCUGGUUACUUACCCAUUUGAUAAAAAUUGCUCAAACAUUUAACUUCUAUUAUCUGAGAUGUUUUAUUGUCUAAUGUUUGACCAAGCCUUAACUAAUUUUCAAGAAGACAAUUGGCCUUGAAUUGGAUUAUCCUCCACCUUGUAUAUUUAUUUCUGAAACACCGGUUCGUGAAUCGUGAUAAUGUUAUUAUUUCCCAAUAUGUUAACAUUAUAGUAUAUAAAUUAAGAUACAAUGUAUAUACGUUAUAUCUUUCUCGUUGAGUUGUUUACAUCAUUUCAAAAGUAAGCAUAUUAAAAAGAAACGCGAUAUGCCGAUAUGACUAUUUGAAAAUUUCAAAUGCUAUUAAAAAUUUUGGUCAUAACAUCUAUUUAUCUUGUCUGAAUCUUAAAACGUAAUAUUAGAUUCGAGUUAAUGUUGAUCAAACAAUAAUUAGAAUAAGAGAUUACAAAUGAAUCUGAGUAAUGACAAGAAACGUGUUAUAAAACGAAGAACGUGUGAGGCAAAACCCCAAAAAACAAAGCAGAAAAUAAAUCAAAGAUUGACUGUCACCGGCACGAGAGAGAAUCAUCUGCAUGACGGACCACCUUCUCUUUCUAUGUUCCUUCUACAUUCAACUCGGCCGCCUAUCUUUUAAGAUUUUAACGCGUUCCUUCUUUAUUUGUUCUUGUCAAGAACAAAUUAAAAUAGGAUGUCAAAGAUAAACUCGAAAUUUGAUUUUUCUUUUACUUUUGAACAAUGUAGUUCGUAGUUAAAGAAAGAAAAAAAAAACCUAUUCAAACUCGUAUAUUGUAUUUUGUUGAAAAUAAAAUAAAAAAUAUUUGGAUAUAGAAAAAAUAGUAUUUCAUGUGCUGGUAAUGGACGAAUGCUUGUUUACAGCAUUCAGAAUGUGUAAUUCUCUCGUUUGUUCCCCUCUGUGGGAUCAUCUAUCUUUUUUACGCACCAUUUUCUAGAAUAAUGUCGGUCAUUUUUGAUUUUUAUAGUUCCUCUAAUAUAUUAUGGUAAAAUUCUGUUACCUGUAGAUUCAAUUCAAUGUUCUCUAUAUUUUAUUUGAUAUGAACAUGCAGAACAUAUCGAUCAACGAUGACCAAAAUUAUAGAAGGGGAAAAAGAAAAUCAAUAAUGUAGCCCGAAAGAGACUAACCUCAUUUUCUUUCUUUGUAUUAUAUAUUCAAUCAUUAUUGUUUUUCUUACAUAUGACAUAAAUUGCCAUUUACCAUGAGCGAUCGAAGUUAAAAAAAAAAAAAAAACCGAGAAAGUGAAAUUGAAAAGCUAUAUAAAGGGUGUGAAGGGGAGAGAGUAGAGCAUCAAACACAAAGAGAAACACAUAGAAAAUGGGGUCACCAAUGGCUUCUUUGGCAGCAACUUUGCUUGUCUUAGCAUUCUCUCUUUGUUUUGUAUCGGAAACCACCGCAAAUUACUACUACUCUUCUCCUCCUCCACCGGUCAAACACUACACUCCUCCGGUUUACAAAUCUCCACCACCACCGGUUAAGCAUUACUCUCCUCCUCCGGUUUACAAAUCCCCACCUCCUCCCAAGAAACACUACGAGUACAAAUCACCUCCACCACCGGUUAGGCACUAUUCUCCUCCUCCGGUUUACAAAUCCCCACCCCCACCAAAGAAGGACUACGAGUACAAAUCUCCUCCUCCACCGGUUAAACACUACUCUCCUCCUCCGGUUUACAAGUCUCCACCACCACCAAAGAAGGACUACGAGUACAAAUCACCUCCACCACCGGUUAAGCACUACUCUCCUCCUCCGGUUACAAAUCUCCNNNNNNNNNNNNNNNNNNNNNNNNNNNNNNNNNNNNNNNNNNNNNNNNNNNNNNNNNNNNNNNNNNNNNNNNNNNNNNNNNNNNNNNNNNNNNNNNNNNNUCCACCUCCACCAAAAAAAGGACUACGAGUACAAAUCCCCUCCACCACCGGUUAAGCAUUACUCUCUCCUCCAGUUACAAGUCCCCACCUCCUCACCAAGAACACUACGAAUACAAAUCACCUCCUCCUCCGGUUUACAAGUCCCCUCCUCCUCCGGUUUACCACUCUCCACCACCUAAGAAGCAUUACGAGUACAAAUCUCCUCCUCCACCGGUUUACCAGUCUCCUCCUCCUCCGGUUUACCACGCUCCCCCACCACCAAAGAAACAUUACGAAUACAAAUCUCCUCCACCACCGGUUUACCAGUCUCCCCCUCCUUUGGUUUACCACUCUCCUCCACCACCCAAGAAACAUUACGAGUACAAAUCACCUCCUCCACCGGUUUACCAGUCUCCCCCUCCUCCAGUUUAUCAUUCUCCUCCACCACCGGUUUACCAAUCUCCCCCUCCUCCGGUUUACCACUCUCCUCCAC